RNAcentral lists this long non-coding RNA (507 nucleotides) under Ursus maritimus (polar bear). Its description in RNAcentral is "lncRNA (ENSUMAG00000005293.1)". The record is from RNAcentral. Lineage: Eukaryota; Metazoa; Chordata; Mammalia; Carnivora; Ursidae.
GAUUCAACUCCCUUCCCUCUAGUGUGUCCCCACCCUGGGUCCCCACCUUCCAGACACCGAGUUCCCCAUCUCCUCUCCGUCCUACCUCCUCCACCAUGUCUUGGAGACUUCCCGAGCCCUAAUUGCCCCAUCCUGCUCCCUCGUGUUCGCCUCCCACCCCCAACACCUAUUCACCCCUUCACCCAGGGCCAAGAAGAGUGGGCCUCCCUUUCCCAAUCCUCCCCGGCAGCUCUCCCUCCUAGGAGCUGGUGUUUUCCUCUGCAGGGCCCUCUGGAGGGCCCAGGAGACCCUGCUUCCCUGCCAACCCCGGCUGGCUUCGUUGAGCUUUCCGGAAUCAUCAACACAGUGCGACAGAUCUGCCCCCAUGCCCCUGCACGCCCAGGGCCCAGACGGCUGACCGCAGAGCCGGAUCCCGGAUCCCGCGGGCCGACCCCAGUUCUGUGUUCUCCCUCCUCCCUGGGCUGGUCCCGCUGCCUGGAAAGGGUUAACUCGACUGCGAGGAAUUAA